Carcharodon carcharias (great white shark) is the source of this 573-nucleotide long non-coding RNA. RefSeq lists it as uncharacterized. The transcript has 4 exons. NCBI's taxonomy places the organism in Eukaryota, Metazoa, Chordata, Chondrichthyes, Lamniformes, Lamnidae. The record is from RefSeq and is a predicted model, not a curated record.
AAACACCCACUCGUGUUUCACUCAGCAGGAAAUAGUAAAUGAACAGGGAGUUCUCUGUCCAACAUUCAUCUCUCAACCAACAUCACUAAAACUGGUUCAUCAUCUCAUUCCCAUUUCUGGGACAUGGCUGGGUACGAAUCAGCAAUUCACUGCAGCUGGUUGGUGCUGUUCCUGCUGGGCCUUACUGAAUAUCUCAAUGCUGAAGCUGGGAGAAGAUGAGCCAUAACCAAUUGGAGAGGUAACAAAUCGGCAGAGAUCCACCCAACCUGCUGCUGCUAACCAGGUUCGAGCAAGACGCCUGUGAGCUGGAGAGCCAGCAAGCUCCCUGUGCACCCGGUCGUGGAUAGGCUGGGGUGUCAGAUAAAGAUUCGCCAGCACACACUCAAUCACAGGACCCCGAAGGGCCAUCCCUGAUGCCAGAGCGCCGCCGAGCUUCAUCUGCACCUGCAUCACAUCCGCUCUCUGAACCAGGCACCAGCGCAGACAUCAGCACCUCAGUGGGCAUUAGAUCGUCGGCUGCAUUAUGCUGUCAGACCUUCUGAGUUUUUCCAGCAUUUUCUGUUUUUAAUUUCA